UGGGGAAUUUUGGACAAUGGGCGAAAGCCUGAUCCAGCAAUGCCGCGUGUGUGAAGAAGGCCUUCGGGUUGUAAAGCACUUUUGUCCGGAAAGAAAUCCUUGGCUCUAAUACAGUCGGGGGAUGACGGUACCGGAAGAAUAAGCACCGGCUAACUACGUGCCAGCAGCCGCGGUAAUACGUAGGGUGCAAGCGUUAAUCGGAAUUACUGGGCGUAAAGCGUGCGCAGGCGGUUUGCUAAGACCGAUGUGAAAUCCCCGGGCUCAACCUGGGAACUGCAUUGGUGACUGGCAGGCUAGAGUAUGACAGAGGGGGGUAGAAUUCCACGUGUAGCAGUGAAAUGCGUAGAGAUGUGGAGGAAUACCGAUGGCGAAGGCAGCCCCCUGGGCCAAUACUGACGCUCAUGCACGAAAGCGUGGGGAGCAAAACAGGAUUAGAUACCCUGGUAGUCCACGCCCUAAAACGAUGUCAACUAGUUGUUGGGGAUUCAUUUCCUUAGUAACGUAGCUAACGCGUGAAGUUGACCGCCUGGGGAGUACGGUCGCAAAGAUUAAAAACUCAAAGGAAUUGACGGGGUCAUAGCUGUUUCCU
This 589-nucleotide ribosomal RNA is filed under the name uncultured bacterium. RNAcentral describes it as "partial 16S ribosomal RNA". It matches the Rfam family "Bacterial small subunit ribosomal RNA", at positions 355 to 1375 of the family's 1533-position model. The record is from RNAcentral.